UUGUUUCCGAUUGGCUGCCCGGACUUCUCGCGGCUAAACUAACUUUGGCUCCAAGGCGGCGUGAAGAGUGUGAUUCUGUUCAGCGACCGUGAUUCUGUUCAGCGACCAUGAUGUUGAGCCCCUAAUUGAGAGUCUGUUACCACUAUUAAUAGCUACUCUGUUCGGGCCCUACACAUAACGGUGUAUCUAAACCUCUCUACAAUUUUAUGGCUAGAAGAAUUGAAUUCUUCCAUGUAUCCUUUGCCAACUGUCAGUAGUGAAGUUUACAAUUUAUAAUUUCUG
This 282-nucleotide long non-coding RNA is filed under the name Pan troglodytes (chimpanzee). RNAcentral describes it as "long non-coding RNA NONPTRT015321". Lineage: Eukaryota; Metazoa; Chordata; Mammalia; Primates; Hominidae. The record is from RNAcentral.